This 514-nucleotide long non-coding RNA is filed under the name Carica papaya (papaya). Its description in RNAcentral is "long non-coding RNA (CPAP_LNC008028)". Lineage: Eukaryota; Viridiplantae; Streptophyta; Magnoliopsida; Brassicales; Caricaceae. The record is from RNAcentral.
UAUAGAUAACAUCAGAAAGUAAUACCUUCAUGCUUGGUGUGGAUAUCAUUAAGAUAUGCCCUAAAUAAACAGGUGUAACAUCCAAUCAUGGUACAAAAGUGUGUGACACGAAUGAGUGUGUGGAAUCAGGAUCUACUAAUACUUUAGGUAGGUUCUUUGAGAUAGGAUACGUACCUAGAACCACGUAUGGGUUUGCUUCAACAUUUGCUGCAGUAAGUGUGUACACUCGUCCUCGUCUUUGAGCGUGUGGUUAUCCCUUUAUAAGUGGGCAGUUACGGAUCAGAUGUUGUUGGCUAUCACACUUAAAAUAGGAUCGAGUGACACAAUGACACGACUGAUUACCAUGAUUCUUUCCACAAGUACGGCAGGUCGGUGCCCUACCAAGAGUUGAUGGUGGUAUAGGAGAUGCCUCUGUUACCAUUUUGGGCCUCUUAUCUUAUGAACUAAACCCUAGAAUCUGUCUUCUCAGAUGUACCAGGGGUCUAGAAUUGCUUGCUCUGGAGGAUAAACCCCU